AACUCUCCAAAUUGCUGUUGUGUUCCAUGGCAGAGGAAGUGAACAAACCGUAGAUCAGUGCCUGGCUUUGGGCACUGCUUGGCCAGGGGUCACUCCCACAGUGCAAUGCUGGGGUCCUCCUGGGAAGGGAAGCAAUGAGGUCAGAAAUGUCUCCUUGCCCCUUCAGUUGGGAUUUAAGGGAAUAACGGGUGAAUUCAGGUCUGUGAACCUGUGGCCAGGCCAGCCCCAAGCCACAGGCAGCAGGCAGAGGCUGCGCUAAUUUGGGAUGGAGUCACUGGGAGCAGCGUGUCAUCGGAUCUCCUGCUCCUGGGAUUUUUAAGGCAUUCUUCCAGGGUCUGUGCUCAACCUGCCUGUGUUGGUAAUCAAUAGAUGUAUGGUCACCCAAGCUGGCUGUGCAUCUCUUCUAUCAAAGCUGUGACAACGAAAGAUCAAGAUGUGAGCAGGCAGACUCAUGCAUCGAACGCUAUUUAAAAAGCAGGAUGAAUUAAUUACCACCAUUAACGACCAAGGAUAGAGUUUGGGAGGCUUCAGUUAGCAAAUGAGAAAACCACAUCGAUGGCAUCCCAGUGCCAUGCCCUAAGAUGGGUAUGGUCCCCAGGCAACCCAGUGCCAUGCUGAGAGAUGGGUCCAUACUCCUGAGCUCCCGAUACUACGCCUCAAGAUUGCUCUGGUCCCUGAACAUCUCAAGCUGUUCCCACUGCACAGUGCUGGUUUUCCCAUCCAGCUGCUUGCUCAGAUCCUGUUAAUUAGGAUUAUUUUUUAAUUGCUUGUAGGCAUUGCUGUCCUUUUGCAGCCCCAUUGAAGGAGCAGUGCAGAGGACCAUCAGCCUGUUUUCUGUGCUGGUUGGUUGUAAUGCAGCAACACCAGAGCUGCAAACAGACAGGACUUGUCAGCUGUAAAAGACACUGGCAGAUUUUAUUAGUUGACAGAAGGGGCAUUUUUCCUCCCCCCUCCCUCAUGAAAAUAUUAAAAAGUCAUUCUAGUUUAGAAACCUAAUUUUAAUUUAGUUAGGUUUUAAUUUAAUUUAGGUUUUAAAUUCAUUUUCUGUCAGAACUCAAUUUUUCAAGUGUAAUUUGAUGCCGUCAGUGGCUAUAAUGUUUAAUGUCCUGCCUAUAAAUUGUGGGGACGGCUCAGAGAUGAUUUACAGGAUUCAAGCUGAUGUGGCCACUGGAUGAGGCUGUGCCUGACCCUGCGCAUUACCCAACAUGGGAGGAGGUUAGCAUAGGAAAAUGACCCAAAGGGCUGUGUUAUCAGAAAGCCCUAUUUGUAGUCACCUGCAUAAAAUUUGUGUUUCUUUCCUGUAUUUCAAGCCAGGCCCCUGUAAAAUAUGGCACCAUUGCAUAAAAUGCCAUCCCAAUUUAAUCCAUCCCUCUGCAUGUUCCAUCUAAUUAUGGUAUUAGAGAAGUCUUCAGAGCAUGUAUUGAGCAUUAUAAAUGGGGAUAAGAUGAUUCUGGUAAUGGCUUAAUGAUACAGGUGAGACACUUGGUGCCUCCCUGCAUCCCUGGGCUGUGGCCAGCCUCAUUUGGCAGAGAACAACCCCAGGGUGCUCACAUCCAUUAGCAGGCUUUGAUUUUGCUCUUGCUUUUGGCUUCUGAGUAGCAUCUCAUUACCUGCAGGGCAUAGUGGGCCCAUGGGAAUUCUUGCACAAUAACAUUUGUUUGUCUUUUCUCUUGGCCAGCAUAUGCAUUUACAGGUGUUGCAUGAAUCCCAUGGCUGCCCAAAGGCUGCCCAGAGCAUCUCCAUGGGAUUUGCUUCCUGUGAUGCUUGGCCACGUGUAGCAAUUGGACAGAUCAAUACAAUAAGAAAAGCAAUACAACAAAGGCGUGAUGAUGGAAGGACCAACACAAUAGGAAGAUGCAGAAAAAGAAGAGAUGAAAAUUGCUCACCUGUGUCAGCAGAUCCUAGGUUUACAGGGAAAAGCUUCACCAAGUAUAGACCUCCAGAAAGAGAUCCUUCCCCAGUGGCAGUCAGCCCUUAAAUGAGGUCUGAGAGAGGUGCAGCCAGGCUACACCCCUUUCCUAUCCCACAACUGAAUUGCCUUCACCUGUGUGCCCUGGGAUGACCAGGUCCUUCUCUCAAGUUCUCAAUCAUUGGUUAAAGCUGUGACUCAGCAGUUCCCAUACAGCCACAGGUUGAUCUCAUCCCAUAUCUCAACCUUUGUCUAUCUCACCUUAAAUCUCAUUUGUUACCAAACUGGUGCAGUUGUGGUUGUGAGCUGGUGGGACCUGGGACACAUGGCAGCAUCCAAGCAUGGUGCUGGAAAAGUGCUGGGGCCUCAGAAUUCCAGACUGGCUGAGAUUGUAAGGAGCCUCUGGGUCCAUUUGGUCCAACACCCAGAGGGAUAUAACCCAUUAGGAACACCCAGAGCAGGGUGCCCAGCACUGUAUCUAGCUGGCUUUUGAAGAUGUCAAAGAGGAGACCCCACAGUCUGCCUGUUCUCAUCCGUCCAUUUCCACCUGUCCUUCAGAACUCACUGUGGCCCCAAAUGGCCUGGUCCAGCCUUGGCUUGGUCCCUCCUGACCUGUGUUUUGUUUUACACCUGUGUAAAUCUGCAAGCUGAAUGACAUUCAUGCCCACCAGCCCCACCACUUCCAACCUGGUUCCUGCAGAGCUGAGGCUCCCAGCUUGUGCUAUCUUCCCCCAAAACAUUUGAUGCCUUCGGUCAAUUUUAACCCGAUUACUGCAGAUGUGCACGUUUCAGAGAGAUUAACUUCUGAAGACUCCCCUGAAGAUCGGCUGUCAGGCUGCCAGGGAAAAAAAACACCAAGAUUAUCGCCCUUGGUUGAGAGCAAAAAGUGCAAAGAUUGUGAGCACAGCCAUGCUAUGAGGCACGGGAGAAUCCGCUGCUGCUGCAGAGCUGGGGUUCCCAAAGCUCUGGGUGCUCCCUGGUUGGGUGCAGGGUGCUCGUCCCCACCGGCAUGAUGCCACCGGCAUCCCCCAGGUUGUCAUGGCUACUGACGCAUGGGACCCCAGGGACUGGGCUGGGAAUUAAUGGCAGCCCUGGAUAAAGGAUUCCUGUCUCGGCCGAGUUGAUGGAUUACAUUGAUGUGCCAUUUGUCAUACUGUAAUUGUUCUGGCAAAUGUAAUACCCACUAGUAUAAACAUUGUGCUGCUUUGCUAAUAAAACCGAAAAUAGGAAGAGAAAGGA
This is a non-coding RNA of Coturnix japonica (Japanese quail), 3148 nucleotides long. Lineage: Eukaryota; Metazoa; Chordata; Aves; Galliformes; Phasianidae. The record is from RefSeq and is a predicted model, not a curated record.